CUUCAAGGUUCGACUCGAGCAAUAGUGAGAGAACGUUGCCGCAGGCAACGGCCCGAAGGGUGAGGAGCUUUAGCUCCGAAUAAUCCUUCCCGCUAUAGAA
Molecule: small RNA, 100 nt
Filed under: Salmonella enterica
Lineage: Bacteria; Pseudomonadati; Pseudomonadota; Gammaproteobacteria; Enterobacterales; Enterobacteriaceae
Description: partial RtT sRNA
Rfam family: RtT RNA
About the family: This family represents a bacterial cis-regulatory element known as RtT RNA.
Source: RNAcentral